RNAcentral lists this ribosomal RNA (503 nucleotides) under Chaetogonopteron sp. 1 SNK-2009. RNAcentral's name for it is "partial 16S ribosomal RNA". It matches the Rfam family "Bacterial large subunit ribosomal RNA", at positions 1845 to 2606 of the family's 2925-position model. Lineage: Eukaryota; Metazoa; Arthropoda; Insecta; Diptera; Dolichopodidae. The record is from RNAcentral.
AUAAAGUCUAAUCUGCCCACUGAUAUUAAUUUAAUGGCCGCAGUAUUUUAACUGUGCAAAGGUAGCAUAAUCAUUAGUCUUUUAAUUGAAGGCUGGAAUGAAUGAUUGGACGAGAUAUAAGCUGUCUCAUAAAAAUUUUUAUAGAAUUUAAUUUUUUAGUAAAAAAGCUAAAAUUUUUUUAAAAGACGAGAAGACCCUUUAGAUCUUUAUACAAUAAUUUAUUAUUUUUUUUUAGUUUUAUUAUAAAUUAAUAAUUUAUUAUAUUUUGUUGGGGUGACAUUGAAAUUUAAUUAACUUUCAAAAUUUAAAUCCAUUAAUUAAUGAAUUAAUGAUCCUUUAUUAAUGAUUAAAAAUUUAAGUUACCUAAGGGAUAACAGCGUAAUUAUUUUGGAGAGUUCUUAUCGAUAAAAUAGAUUGCGACCUCGAUGUUGGAUUAAGAUUAAUUUUGGGUGUAGUAGUUCAAUAAAUUAAGUCUGUUCGACUUUUAAUUUCUUACAUGAUCG